RNAcentral lists this ribosomal RNA (441 nucleotides) under uncultured bacterium. RNAcentral describes it as "partial 16S ribosomal RNA". It matches the Rfam family "Bacterial small subunit ribosomal RNA", at positions 338 to 795 of the family's 1533-position model. The record is from RNAcentral.
CCUACGGGAGGCAGCAGUGGGGAAUAUUGCACAAUGGGGGGAACCCUGAUGCAGCGACGCCGCGUGGGUGAAGGAGUGCUUCGGCAUGUAAAGCCCUAUCGGCAGGGAAGAAGCAAGACGGUACCUGACUAAGAAGCCUCGGCUAACUACGUGGCAGCAGCCGCGGCAAAACGUAGGGGGCGAGCGUUAUCCGGAUUCAAUGGGGGUAAAGGGAGCGUAGGCGGCAAUGCAAGCCAGGGGUGAAAGCCCGGGGCCCAACCCCGGGACUGCCCUGGGAAUUGCAUGGCUAGAGUGCGGUAGGGGCAGGCGGAAUUCCAGGUGUAGCGGUGAAAUGCGUAGAUAUCAGGAGGAACACCGGCGGCGAAGGCGGCCUGCUGGACCGCGACUGACGUUGAGGCUCGAAAGCGUGGGGAGCGAACAGGAUUAGAUACCCUUGUAGUC